RNAcentral lists this transfer RNA (63 nucleotides) under Hexostoma thynni. RNAcentral's name for it is "tRNA-Gln". The record is from RNAcentral. Lineage: Eukaryota; Metazoa; Platyhelminthes; Monogenea; Diclybothriidea; Hexostomatidae.
AGCAGUAAGGUGUUUUAGCAUUUCACUUUUUGGAGGUGGAGGGGGUACAAAGGCCUAUUGUUA